GAUGAACGCUGGCGGCGUGCCUAAUACAUGCAAGUCGAGCGAACAGACGAGGAGCUUGCUCCUCUGACGUUAGCGGCGGACGGGUGAGUAACACGUGGAUAACCUACCUAUAAGACUGGGAUAACUUCGGGAAACCGGAGCUAAUACCGGAUAAUAUAUUGAACCGCAUGGUUCAAUAGUGAAAGACGGUUUUGCUGUCACUUAUAGAUGGAUCCGCGCCGCAUUAGCUAGUUGGUAAGGUAACGGCUUACCAAGGCAACGAUGCGUAGCCGACCUGAGAGGGUGAUCGGCCACACUGCAACUGAGACACGGUCCAGACUCCUACGGGAGGCAGCAGUAGGGAAUCUUCCGCAAUGGGCGAAAGCUUGACGGAGCAACGCCGCGUGAGUGAUGAAGGUCUUCGGAUCGUAAAACUCUGUUAUUAGGGAAGAACAAAUGUGUAAGUAACUAUGCACGUCUUGACGGUACCUAAUCAGAAAGCCACGGCUAACUACGUG
RNAcentral lists this ribosomal RNA (497 nucleotides) under uncultured bacterium. RNAcentral's name for it is "partial 16S ribosomal RNA". It matches the Rfam family "Bacterial small subunit ribosomal RNA", at positions 28 to 507 of the family's 1533-position model. The record is from RNAcentral.